This 253-nucleotide ribosomal RNA is filed under the name uncultured bacterium. Its description in RNAcentral is "partial 16S ribosomal RNA". It matches the Rfam family "Bacterial small subunit ribosomal RNA", at positions 524 to 776 of the family's 1533-position model. The record is from RNAcentral.
UACGUAGGGUGCGAGCGUUGUCCGGAAUUAUUGGGCGUAAAGAGCUCGUAGGCGGCUUGUCACGUCGGUUGUGAAAGCCCGGGGCUUAACCCCGGGUCUGCAGUCGAUACGGGCAGGCUAGAGUUCGGUAGGGGAGAUCGGAAUUCCUGGUGUAGCGGUGAAAUGCGCAGAUAUCAGGAGGAACACCGGUGGCGAAGGCGGAUCUCUGGGCCGAUACUGACGCUGAGGAGCGAAAGCUAGGGGAGCAAACGGG